GUGAGUUGUUUCGACUUUGUUAUCAUCACUUUUUAUAAAUUCUAUUUGUCUGUUAAAAUAAUUUAAAGGUCUUUCGGUUAUAGUGCAUCUGCCACAUUAUUCUCUUUUCCUGGUAAAUACUGGAUUUGAUAAUCAUACUCAUUUAAUCGGAUUUUCCAUCUUUGCAAUUUCAUAUUUGGUUCUUUAAUAUUACUGAGCCAAACUAAUGGUUUAUGAUCACUUAGGAUUUGGAAUUUUCUACCGAAUAGCUGAAUAGUUUGAUUCGUGUUCGUUUAAAGUUCGACUUGCAUGGCAAAUGGGUUUGUGUUCCAGUGACAGAACGGCGCCUAUAGCGAA
Drosophila albomicans is the source of this 336-nucleotide long non-coding RNA. RefSeq lists it as uncharacterized. The record is from RefSeq and is a predicted model, not a curated record. Lineage: Eukaryota; Metazoa; Arthropoda; Insecta; Diptera; Drosophilidae. The transcript is spliced from 3 exons.